Molecule: ribosomal RNA, 330 nt
Filed under: Anelosimus may
Lineage: Eukaryota; Metazoa; Arthropoda; Arachnida; Araneae; Theridiidae
Description: partial 16S ribosomal RNA
Source: RNAcentral
UUUGUUUUUUAAUUAAAAACUAGAAUGAAAGAUUUUACAUUUUAAUUUCUUUAUUAAAUAUAAUAUAUAAAUUUAUACUAAAUAUAAAAAUAUAUUUAUAAUAUAAAAAGACGACAAGACCCUAUUAAAUUUUACUUAUUGUUUAGCUGGGGCAGCUUUUUAAAUAAAAUUUUAAAAUUAUUUAUAUAUUAAUAAAAAUCUAAUAUAAUUAAAUUAAUCCAAUUACUAUAGGGAUAACAGCGUUAUAUUUUUUUCAAGUUCAUAUUAAAAAAAAUCAUUGCGACCUCGAUGUUGAAUUAAUAUUUCUUUAUUAAUGCAACAAUUAUAAAA